CCUACGGGUGGCAGCAGUGAGGAAUAUUGGUCAAUGGACGCGAGCCUGAACCAGCCAAGUAGCGUGAAGGAUGACUGCCCUACGGGUUGUAAACUUCUUUUAUAUGGGAAUAAAACGUUCCACGUGUGGGAUUUUGUAUGUAACUUAUGAAUAAGGAUCGGCUAACUCCGUGCCAGCAGCCGCGGUAAUACGGAGGAUCCGAGCGUUAUCCGGAUUUAUUGGGUUUAAAGGGAGCGUAGGUGGAUUGUUAAGUCAGUUGUGAAAGUUUGCGGCUCAACCGUAAAAUUGCAUUUGAAACUGGCAGUCUUGAGUACAGUAGAGGUGGGCGGAAGUCGUGGUGUAGCGGUGAAAGGCUAAGAUA
Molecule: ribosomal RNA, 361 nt
Filed under: uncultured bacterium
Lineage: Bacteria
Description: partial 16S ribosomal RNA
Rfam family: Bacterial small subunit ribosomal RNA
Source: RNAcentral